RNAcentral lists this ribosomal RNA (584 nucleotides) under uncultured bacterium. RNAcentral describes it as "partial 16S ribosomal RNA". It matches the Rfam family "Bacterial small subunit ribosomal RNA", at positions 355 to 937 of the family's 1533-position model. The record is from RNAcentral.
UGGGGAAUUUUGGACAAUGGGCGAAAGCCUGAUCCAGCAAUGCCGCGUGUGUGAAGAAGGCCUUCGGGUUGUAAAGCACUUUUGUCCGGAAAGAAAUCCUUGGCUCUAAUACAGUCGGGGGAUGACGGUACCGGAAGAAUAAGCACCGGCUAACUACGUGCCAGCAGCCGCGGUAAUACGUAGGGUGCAAGCGUUAAUCGGAAUUACUGGGCGUAAAGCGUGCGCAGGCGGUUUGCUAAGACCGAUGUGAAAUCCCCGGGCUCAACCUGGGAACUGCAUUGGUGACUGGCAGGCUAGAGUUGGCAGGAGGGGGGUAGAAUUCCACGUGUAGCAGUGAAAUGCGUAGAGAUGUGGAGGAAUGCCGAUGGCGAAGGCAGCCCCCUGGGCCAAUACUGACGCUCAUGCACGAAAGCGUGGGGAGCAAACAGGAUUAGAUACCCUGGUAGUCCACGCCCUAAACGAUGUCAACUAGUUGUUGGGGAUUCAUUUCCUUAGUAACGUAGCUAACGCGUGAAGUUGACCGCCUGGGGAGUACGGUCGCAAGAUUAAAACUCAAAGGAAUUGACGGGGUCAUAGCUGUUUCC